UAAACUAGGGAUUAGAUACCCUAUUAUUAUUUAAGAAAAUUUAUUAAUAAUAUAAGAUUAAAUUAAAAAAAUUGGCGGUCUUUUUUCAUAUUAGAGAAAUUUGUCCCAUAAAGGAUAAUACACCAUCGAAUUUACUAUAUUUAAAAUUUUUAUAUCGCUGUUUUCAAAUUAUAAAAGAAAUUAUAAUUAAAAAAGAUUAUUCUAGAAAUUCAAGUCAAGGUAAAGUUAUAAUAUAGGGAGGAUGAAUUACAAUAAAAAAAUUUAGAAUGGAUAAUAUUUUUUAAAGAUAUUUGAAGGUGAAUUUAAAAGUAAAAUUUUUAAAUAAAAAUUUGAUUAAGUUCAAAGAGAUGUACAUAUCGCCG
This 362-nucleotide ribosomal RNA is filed under the name Austropurcellia sharmai. RNAcentral's name for it is "partial 12S ribosomal RNA". The record is from RNAcentral. Lineage: Eukaryota; Metazoa; Arthropoda; Arachnida; Opiliones; Pettalidae.